Molecule: ribosomal RNA, 253 nt
Filed under: uncultured bacterium
Lineage: Bacteria
Description: partial 16S ribosomal RNA
Rfam family: Bacterial small subunit ribosomal RNA
Source: RNAcentral
UACGGAGGGGGCUAGCGUUAUUCGGAAUUACUGGGCGUAAAGCGCACGUAGGCGGCUUUGUAAGUCAGAGGUGAAAGCCUGGAGCUCAACUCCAGAACUGCCUUUGAGACUGCAUCGCUUGAAUCCAGGAGAGGUGAGUGGAAUUCCGAGUGUAGAGGUGAAAUUCGUAGAUAUUCGGAAGAACACCAGUGGCGAAGGCGGCUCGCUGGACUGGUAUUGAUGCUGAGGUGCGAAAGCGUGGGGAGCAAACAGG